Pan troglodytes (chimpanzee) is the source of this 1231-nucleotide long non-coding RNA. RefSeq lists it as uncharacterized. NCBI's taxonomy places the organism in Eukaryota, Metazoa, Chordata, Mammalia, Primates, Hominidae. The record is from RefSeq and is a predicted model, not a curated record. The transcript is spliced from 3 exons.
GGCUGUCAGUAGACAAGGAUAAGUUAGGUAUGGAUAAUGUCAUCGCUAGAGUAACCACUGAAAAUAUCACAUGAAGAGACAUCAUGGAAACCACAGUUGAUAAUUAUAAUGGAAUACUCAAAAAAGUUCAAGUAACCUAAGAGUAGACAGAAAAGCUGGGCGCAGAGGCUCACAGCUGUAGUCCCAGCUACUCAGGAGGCUGAGGGGGGAGGAUCACUUGAGCCCAGGAGUUAGAGGCUGCAGGGAGCUAUGACUGCACGUGUGACUAGCCACUGCACUCCAACCUAGACAAAACAGUGAGACCCCAUCUCUAAAUAAAAAGAGAAAAUACAGUAGUGUUUAACAACAGUGGGGGGUGUGAGAACAGAAAAAAACAAUAAAAUGGAAGACGUAACAGAAUAAUUACACUAAGUAUCUACAGUCUAAACACACAAAAGAUAAAGAUUGUCAGAAGGGAUGAAGAACACAUGAUCCAACCGGACACCUUCUACAAGAAACUCACUUCAAAACUCACGGUGCAGGUCCCUGCUGGAGGCUGCCCAGGAUCUUCUCACCCAAGAGAUGAAUCAGCCGAGUCACCACCUGCGGGCAGACACAGGAGCCAAGAGCCACACGUUUUAAACCAAGAAACGCUGGGAACCAAAGACAGUGAUGCUCAACAACAGCGAGACUCAGCCAAUGGCGCUGGAUCUGCUUUUCAAAACCUCCAUGAACUGAGUUGCACGUGACUCACAAGCCACGUGCUGGGCCAUGGCUGUCCAGGCCUUGCAGCCUUCUUGAUGCCCAGAAUGAAAAACUUCUUGGGAUCCGUGUGCUGGCUGAUGAACAACUGCAGACCUGCCCUUCAGGCCCCUCCGCCAGUCCUUGCUCCACACUCUCACCUGCGCCCUGCCCUCACCUGCUCCAUGACCUCAUCCACUCUGCGCCUUCACCUGCUCUGCGCCCUCACCAGCUCCGCACCCUCACCUGCGCCCUGCCCUCACCUGCUCCGUGACCUCAUCCACUCUGCGCCCUGCCCUCACCUGCUCCGUGACCUCAUCCACUCCGCGCCCUGCCCUCACCUGCUCCGUGACCUCAUCCACUCCGCGCCUUCACCUGCUCUGUGCCCUCACCUGCUCCAUGCCCUCACCUGCUCUGUGCCCUCACCCGCUCCGCCCUCACCUGUUCCAUGCCCUCAUUCGCUCCACACCCUCAUCCGCUCCGCAUCCUCACCCGCGCCAUGCUCACCUGU